GACGAACCGGACAAACGUUAUUCGGAAUUACUGGGCUUAAAGAGUACGUAGGCGGUCAUGUAGGUCAGGUGUGAAAUCCCUCGGCUCAACCGAGGAACUGCGCUUGAAACCACGUGACUUGAGGGAGAUAGAGGUUAGCGGAACUGAUGGUGGAGCGGUGAAAUGUGUUGAUAUCAUCAGGAACACCAGUGGCGAAGGCGGCUAACUGGGUCUCUUCUGACGCUGAGGUACGAAAGCUAGGGGAGCGAACGGG
RNAcentral lists this unclassified non-coding RNA (253 nucleotides) under Lacipirellulaceae bacterium. Its description in RNAcentral is "partial 16S ribosomal RNA". It matches the Rfam family "Bacterial small subunit ribosomal RNA", at positions 524 to 776 of the family's 1533-position model. Lineage: Bacteria; Pseudomonadati; Planctomycetota; Planctomycetia; Pirellulales; Lacipirellulaceae. RNAcentral also lists the same sequence under 1 other name. The record is from RNAcentral.